RNAcentral lists this ribosomal RNA (504 nucleotides) under uncultured bacterium. Its description in RNAcentral is "partial 16S ribosomal RNA". It matches the Rfam family "Bacterial small subunit ribosomal RNA", at positions 29 to 523 of the family's 1533-position model. The record is from RNAcentral.
AUUGAACGCUGGCGGCAGGCCUAACACAUGCAAGUCGAACGGUAGCACAGAGAGCUUGCUCUCGGGUGGCGAGUGGCGGACGGGUGAGUAACGUCUGGGAAACUGCCCGAUGGAGGGGGAUAACUACUGGAAACGGUAGCUAAUACCGCAUAACGUCGCAAGACCAAAGUGGGGGACCUUCGGGCCUCACACCAUCGGAUGUGCCCAGAUGGGAUUAGCUAGUAGGUGGGGUAAUGGCUCACCUAGGCGACGAUCCCUAGCUGGUCUGAGAGGAUGACCAGCCACACUGGAACUGAGACACGGUCCAGACUCCUACGGGAGGCAGCAGUGGGGAAUAUUGCACAAUGGGCGCAAGCCUGAUGCAGCCAUGCCGCGUGUAUGAAGAAGGCCUUCGGGUUGUAAAGUACUUUCAGCGGGGAGGAAGGCGGUGAAGUUAAUAGCUUCACCGAUUGACGUUACCCGCAGAAGAAGCACCGGCUAACUCCGUGCCAGCCGCCGCAAAAA